This 1046-nucleotide long non-coding RNA is filed under the name Marmota monax (woodchuck). The record is from RNAcentral. Lineage: Eukaryota; Metazoa; Chordata; Mammalia; Rodentia; Sciuridae.
UUGAUUGUUUCCUUUGCAGUGAAGAAGCUUUUUAGUUUGAUGCCAUUCCAUUUAUUCAUUCUUGGUUUUACUUCUUAUGCUUUAGGAAUCUUGAAAAUGUCUGUCAUGUGGACAUUCCACUCAUUUGGGACAUCCAAGAUAACUCAAUUGCAUGGAUAACAAGUGCUACUCUUAUUUAUUGGGAGUUCAAUCCAGGCUGUUGACUAGAGCACAUUGGUUCUACCCUAUAGAGUUCCCAUGUGCAGGCCUGAGCAUCCUGUAUUUUUAUAUGCUAUAUCUGAUAACUCUAUGUGACGGCCUCAAAUGUGUAAGUUUAAGAUCACCUGAAAUGAUACUUCUAGUGGAGCAGGCCAAUAUCUAAGGAAGAAGCAAGGGAGGUCCCUGUCAGCUGCCAUACUCUUAGGUCAGGUCUGCAGAAAGUCUAGGGCAUAUGCACAAGUAUGGCCAUGCAACAUGGCAGACAGCACCAUGGGAGCACUGAGUCCCAAUGUCAGCAGGAGGCACUGGCUCAGUGACCAGUGGCACUGGUACAACAAAGUAGUGAUCAUAACAACCAGAAGAUACAAUGAGCUUCUCACCAGGGCCUUUUCCUUCUCUUUUACUCAUCUCUUAUCCUCUACCAACAAAUCUGAAAGGAAUAAGAAGUGGCCUAAAUUCAUGCAGGCAUUUGGGAUCCCACAAUAACCACAUAACAUCACACUGCCUGCUGCCAGAAGGGUCCCACAUCUCUCUCCCUCUCGAGUCAGUGGAAUACUGAGUCCCACAGCAGGAACAAGACGAGUUGGGUCUUGGGUCCCUUCAUCUCCCCACACCUUGGGGAGACUCAGCCCCUGCCACAGGGCACACCCACACCAUUCUCUGACUCCAAAUACCUGGAGGCAGGACCCUUAUCUGCCUGUUCUUAAACCAAUAUUGCAUCAAUUUAUUAUAAGAGCUUCAUAAAGUUUUUAUCUCUGCAAAAAAGAAGUCCCUAUUUCACUGCUUUGGUUUUGUUCUUGUUUUGCAGUGCUGGAAUCAAAUCCAGGGCCCCAAAUGCAGGCUAGGCA